RNAcentral lists this ribosomal RNA (253 nucleotides) under uncultured bacterium. Its description in RNAcentral is "partial 16S ribosomal RNA". It matches the Rfam family "Bacterial small subunit ribosomal RNA", at positions 524 to 776 of the family's 1533-position model. RNAcentral also lists the same sequence under 1 other name. The record is from RNAcentral.
UACGGGGGGAGCGAACGUUGUUCGGAAUCACUGGGCGUAAAGGGCGUGCAGGCGGCCCGGUAAGUGGAAUGUGAAAUACCCUGGCUCAACCAGGGAACUGCAUUCCAGACUGCCAGGCUUGAGUAUAGGAGAGGAUGGGGGAAUUCCCGGUGUAGCGGUGGAAUGCAUUGAUAUCGGGAGGAACACCAGUGGCGAAGGCGCCCAUCUGGCCUAAUACUGACGCUGAGGCGCGAAAGCUAGGGGAGCAAACAGG